CUUCCCACUUUCAGGAAAAGUAGGGAGGAUGGCGUUUUCAAAUUUGCGUGUAUUUCUCAACAAAAUAGCCGAUGACAUAGGAUCUGAAGAUCUUGCUAUUUUAAAGUUCCUUUGUGGUGACAAUUUGACCAAAAGAAGGUUAGAAAAUAUAACCACUCCGAGAGAACUGUUUGUAGCCAUCGGUGAGAGAGUCGAAGGCGAAGACGAGCAGCUCGAUUUUCUAAGAAACCUCUUUCAAAACGCCAGUAGAUUUGAUUUAAAACACAAAGUUGAAAGUGUUAUUAGUUCUAGAAAAGCGAAUGAAAAUGGGACCGGUGGACAGUAUGCUCAACAGAAUAAUGUCAAUAACAGGGUGACAGGUAGAGCCCAAUCAACUCUCUAUUCUAAUAACACAGGUCAAAGCUUUGCAUGUAGGUACUAUCCGAAUGAGACACCAGCUCAAACAGGAACCUCUGCUUGGGUUUCACCCACCAUGUCCUCACUAAUGGCAAGGGGAACUCAACAGGCUGGCAAUCAUUUACAGUCACCCAUCAGUAAUUUUAUGACAGGCACAGAUGAAUGUGCCCAUCAAUAUACUCAGCAUCCCAUGGGACCAUUUAAAAGUUAUCCAUUUAAAAGUUAUCCAGCCCAAAGUUAUCCCAUCCAAAGCUAUCCAGUCCAAAGUUAUCCAAUGCAAAGUUAUCCUCAUGGUCCAGAAGAACAAUAUCAACCUUCCAAUAGAAAUGACCAAACUCUUGGGUGUAAUCCAUCUACUGGUAGCCUGCAACAGCAAACUCCUCAACCAGAUUCUGGAGGUAAUAUUGUUGUGGAACAGCCUAAACCACAACCUGCUGUACAACCAAAGCCCAUUGUGUACCCAACUCAAGUCAGUGUCCCAUUUGGCCAACAAGAGCAAUCUUCUGAGAAGACAGCAGGCCAUAAGAACUCUCAAGGUUAUGCUGAAUUUCCUCCAAACAAUCAGGGAACGACUGUGGAUUUAAGAUCCCCUAUGACUUUACAGUUGAGAAAUCCAACUGUGGGUAAUCAAGCACAGCUUGCAGGAUUAAAGUACAGAGAUCAUCCAGAACAAGGGAGCUUAACAGCAUAUUUAGGUGAUAUCAAUUCAGGAGCUUCCAGCACCUUAGUGUCAGGUAGUUUGCUUGGAAGCAAUCAAGACCAACAUGAAGGAAGAGAUAACAUAGACAUUCCGAACCAAGGACAUUCAAAUAUUAAUUCUGGUGAAACUAAUCCAGAAGGUCACACAGAACAAAGAAGUACAAUGAUGAAUUCAGCUGAUGAUAGUUUGGGAACUACCAGCACCUCAGUCUUAGGUAGUUGGCCAGGCAGCAAUCAAGCCCAUCUUGGAGGGAAAGAUGACAAAGGCAAUCCAAAUCAAGGACCUUUAAAUAGAAAUUCUGGUGAAAUUGAUCCAGGAUCUUCAAUGGCCUUAGUUCCUGAUGAUCUAACUUUUAGCAGUCAAGCUCAUAAUGCUGGAAUGGAUAAUUUAAAUCCAGGAAAUGGAAGAGCAGACACCACAAUCAUGGUAAACACUACGAACUCCAAUCAAUUUACAAGCAGUUCAUCUGCAGAGAAAGUUCCAGUUGAGAGUACUGUAUCAGUCAAUUAUGAUACUGAAGUUGCGGUACAUUUACAUCAGAAAUGCCCAGUUGAGAUGAGCUAUAACUGUUUUACAAAAUACUUCAAUCAUCAAAACAGCAAAGUACUGGGUAAAGGAGGCUUUGGAAUUGUCUAUGAAGGUACCAAGAAAUUUCAUGGUCAGAGUGUUGUCAUCAAAGAAGAACACCAGUCUUUAUCUGGACUCCCUCAUGGCGGAGCUCAAUUGCAGAGGGAAAAAAAAGUUGGUUAUAUUAAACAUCCUAAUUUGAUGCCCCUCUAUGCCUUUUGUGAGGAGGAAGGCAAACCAUGCUGUCUGAUGUACCCUAAAAUGCACACUGAUUUACACAAAGCUUUACGAAAGGACUCAAAAGGGUAUCAAAAAUUACCUUUGGACGGUAGACUAAAGAUUGCACUUCAUACGGCCAGGGGACUGCAUUAUUUGCACACAGAAGUGAAAAAUGAGAGAUGUGUAAGGCAGGAGAUUGUACACAUGGAUGUAAAGCCAGGGAAUAUAUUUCUAGAUGAACAAUUUAAUGCACGUCUAGGAGAUGCUGGAAUGGCCCAGGAGUUACCCUUGGAUUACUCUUAUGCAUCUCUCAGCCAGAUUCGUGGAACAAGUGGAUACCUAGAUGCAUUUCUGAAAGAAAGACACUUUAAACCUGUUAAUGACAUUUUCUCAUUUGGAAUAGUGCUCCUAGAACUUUUCACUCAGAACAGUGCUGUUGAAAGAGGUCCACAAAACAAAGAUGUGACCUUGUAUGACAAACUAAAUAAAAAAGGAAUGUUUUCAGAUGUAAACAAAUUAAUGGGCUUGGCACGGAAGGUUGUCUGGCCUGAAAGUGCAGAUGAGAAAAGUUUCACUGAAGAAUUUGCUAAUCUUGCGAUAGACUGUGUUAAACCACCAGAGAACAGAGCAAAACUGUCUGAUGUGUGCAAGAGACUAGAGAACUUACUGCACAGGAAAGGAGUCAGAAAAUCUUCAAAUCCCAAAGAAGGAGCCCAUUGUGUUUCUUGUCUACUAAAUCAUUCAGCGAAGUAUUUGGGAGUGAGGUCACCUAACUGUGACCAAAGGUGUGGCUAUUUUUGUGCAACUUGUUUGAUGCAAGCACGACGGAAUCCUCUGGAAUGUCCAAACCAUGGGCCUGCUGAACCUCCGAUUGGAGGAUCUGACACAUAUGCAGUUCUAGUUUGUGGAAGUGACCCAGACUCACCAAAGACUGCUGCAAUCUUUCAUCAGGAUUUAAUUGGUUUUAAAAGUGUUUUAACAGACAGCCGCAUUGUUGGAGUCAGGAAAGAUCACAUAUCUACUAUUACACCUAGUGCAUCAAGAGGCACAUCACAAUCUGACCUGGUUAAACAAGUUCUACAAGAACUUAAACAGAAGCUUCAAGGAAAGAAAGAUGUGUUUGUGUACUUUUAUUUUUCUGGUCACAGUGAUCAUAAUGGUAACUUGCUCUGUUCUUCAGACAAUGAUUGCUUAACAGUGGAUGAUUUGAAAAACCACCUAACCCUUCUCAAUCCCCAUGUCCGUGAAUUCUUGAUCAUUUUGGAUUGCUGCUUUGCUGAUGGCAAUAUUGCCUCAGAACAUAUUAAGGACGAAAGCUUUCUCGUUCACAAGUCACUUGACUCAGUAAAUGUGGAGGCUCCACCACAUCCUCUUGAGUCACUUUGCAGUGAAUUUCAGGAGGCAAGUGGUGCUGAGAGUUCUUGUGUUAUUGGCAAGAGUCCAAUUUCAAAUGCUGAAGCAGACUUUGCAGAAAGUGAUUUUAGUACUGUAGAUGAAAACGUGAUAAGCAAGGCUCCAGUUAUACCAUCUUUCACCUUUCGUCAGUGGUCUUCUUCAUUAUCUCAACAACAAUCUUAUGCUCAGAUCAGGUCAGGAAGCUUUUUGACACACUACAUAACCUGUGGGUUACGUGGUGCACAUGACUGUAAAUUUAAGGACUGUAAGUUUUGUGGUAAAUUCAAAGCUCAAGCCAAAUCAUUGGGGUAUAUUACUGCUUCAAACUUGGAAGAUUUUGUCUCCAAGCAUGUAGAGGAAGCUGCUGCUAAAGCUGGUGGACGGAGGCAGAGUCCACGCAUACGAUCAAUCCACUCAAAGGAGACAAUACUGGCUUUUUACAAUGAAGAACCAUUGCGUGAUGAGAUGCUGUUCAAAUCAACUUCUGGGUAUACAGAGAGAAUUGUGGUUGAUAAGUACCCUCUUCACCUUUUGGAUUUUCAAAGCAUGGUGUUUUCCAAGGUUCAAGAUCACCUCCCCAUGUGUGCUGAGGCAAAGCACCUUCAGAUUCUCUGUGAUGAUGAAGAAAUUGACAGCACAUCUUAUGUAGACCUAGAAGACUAUCUUAGACAGGGGUAUGACAUUAAAUGUCAGUUAAGGCCAUGCAAUGGUAUUACAAGAGGUCCAGUGGUUGUUGAGAUCCAAACUUACAAGAAUCAGGUUCUGACUCUUCUGAAUUCUCUUCAGAUGUCACGAAAUGAGCAACAGGAUUGUGCUACCUUUGAGAUGAAAACUAUUGAAAAAUCUCUAAAUGCUGAGGAUGUGAGAGAAUGCUGUGAAGACUCCAACCUCAUUGAUCUUAAGGAAAGUUUCGUGGGAAAAUCAAUUGCAGUAAUCCUGACAGAGGCAUCUGUACACCAAGGAGUGUUAGAAAUAAGGGUUUUAGACCAAAGCAUGGAUUGCUGCUUUACAAAACAGGAUUGAACCAUUAAAUGCCAGUACAUGGAAUAUGUGCUGUGGAAGGUUUUAGACAACUUAAGAUUGCACUAAGAUUACUUUUACUUCUUAUUCAUUUAGCUGUAGUUUAAGGAUAAGGUAGACCUUGGGGGGCCAAUUUUUUUGAAAAUUUUCUUUCAUGUUGAACUGUGUUACUAAAAUGUUUUGAUAAAAUUGAAGAACAGCUCCCCAAAAUAUGUCGGCCAACUGUUGGCCGACUGUUCACCGACAGAUGACCAACAGCUCACCAACAGUUCACUGACAGUUGGCCGACAUAAUGAAAACAAAUUCAGAAAUGAGUAAAUAGACUGUUUUAUUUUGGGGAGCUGUUCUUCACUUUUACCAAAUUUUCUUACAAACUGCAUUUAACUACAGUUUGUGAGAAAAUUUUUUGGAAUAUAUUGAAACAUGCCUGGGUUACUUUGCAAAGCAGAUUUUUGAGCUGAAUUCUGUAGCCCACCAAAAUGUGAAGAGAUAGCUAUAAAAUGUCACCCUCAAUGACUCCCAAAGUGUUUUUUCGGGCAAAACAUCCUGGAAUGGUCCUUGAAUUUCAAUCAUGUAAACACUUUCUGAUUUCAGUUACCCAGAGAUCUUUGCUAUCUGUUUGCAUUUAAAACUAGACGGUGAAUGAAGAAAGAUAAAAAGGAGUGAAAGUAUGAACAUUAAGAAUUUAAUUGAAGGUUGGACUCCUUUAAAACUAUGGCUACUCUUGCUGUAACAUGUUUUCUAUAAGUAUUUACAUUAUUUUGUAAUUUAAUAGUCUAGGUUAUCUCCAGUCUGAAAACUAUCUACUUGGUAAUUAAUGUAAAAAUAUUUGAUAAUAAAUUGUCAGUGAUAUUAGAAUGCAUGCUGUAAUAACUGAUAAGUUACACUGCCCAUAAUUUAAUUGCUUUGUGGCUGCUGGUAUAUUUGUUUUUAGAAAACUUGAGUUAAUCUCUUUACCAAGGCUUGAAAUGACAAAGAAAUGCAGUAGACUCUUUCAACUUGUUUCAUCUGUGUAGUUAAUUAAAGCUAAAAAAAGCAGAAAAUUGUCUGCAACCACAGCUUUCAAUUACAGGAAAUUACCCUUCCUUUAGAGACCAAUGCUGAUCAUUUCGCCAACGUGCCAGUUCCCCAACAAACAUUUCGCCAAUGUAUGAGGUUGAUUUGCCAAUGUCUAAUGUCAGUUUGCCAAUGCUUAUAGGUCAGUUCACCGAGACUCACAAUAGUUGUAAUUACAAAUGACCUGGGGAAUAAAACUUUACUUUUGUAUUCACAGGUGUUCAUAGGUUAGUAUUGUUUGAUUAUUGUUUAUUUCACUCUCCCCAUCUAUUAUUUCCUUGACAGCCAAUCAUGUUUGAAAAAGACUUGGAAAACCAUCCAAGGCUUUUACCCAGUAGAGUAUAACCCUACUGUGAAACACUUUUAUUUAACAGCAUAGUUAAGUAGCUAUUGACUCUCAAUAUGUUUGUUUGAUUACAUGUGAAGAACUGCCACAUUCCCCCCUCAAACUUUUGAGGUUUUUUUUUUUUUGUUGGUCAUUAACUUCUGCAAACUUGGUGGCUCCUAAAAGAGUCACUUUUUUGUUGUGGCUUUUUUUUUUUUUUUCCCGUUCUUCAGUUCCCAUGAGUCAGGGCAUUCAGAUGAGCUCAGGUUCUCAGCAGCCGAAUGGCGUUUAUCUCUUUCCUCUCAUACUUGUCCCAGGAUUCGAAGAGCAGUGCCUGGAGGUUUCUGUUUAGCCUCAAAGUAAAAUUUCAUUCCUCUGGUCAUUUGUAAUUACAAUUAUUUUGGAUGUUGGCAAACUGACAUGAUUGUAAGCAUUGGUGAACUGACAUUAGACAUUGGUGAAUUGAUGUCAUGUUAGUAAACUGUUUAUUGGCAAAACGACUGGUUACCUGGCAGACAGAGUGGAAGAGUAUAUCACCAUCCCUGCUUCCUCCCCCCCCCCCAAAAAAAAAAACAACAACAACAAAAACAAACAAAAACAAAAGAAAAAAACCAAAGCCAAAACAACAAAUAUAAAACUGCAUUUACUGUGCAAGGGUCUAAAUGUACUUAAACAAUUCUUUCCUCACAAUUAAGAGUUUUCAGGGUAUUCAUUUAACACAGGAGAUUGGUGGAUUCUUGAUCAGACUCAACAACAACACCGAAACAAUUAUUUGCCUCUAUUUUUAUGGCCUGAGAUAUUUUUAAAAGGGAUCUAGAGCCUUCUCUUGGCAUAAUAUCCCAUUACUUUACACCAUUUUCCCACUUUCCUUAAUGAACACCCUGAGUUGUAUUUAAUUAAACUGAUUUUAAAAAGACAGACAUUAUUGAAGCUGUCUGUAAGAGAAUGACUGUUGAGAGAGAAUUAAUUGCAUUUUCUCCUUGAUAUCUUUCAACUUUCUCUAUUAAAAAGUAAUGUGCAGUUUGUAGCAUAGAAAAUUAAUUUAAUCCUACCAGAACCAAAGUACCUGAAAAAAUUAAUGACAGAAAAUCUUUGCAAGGCUUGCAACUCUUAUUAAUUUUAGUUUCAAUAAAAACACUACUACAGUG
RNAcentral lists this unclassified non-coding RNA (6826 nucleotides) under Stylophora pistillata. RNAcentral's name for it is "uncharacterized LOC111337538, transcript variant X1". Lineage: Eukaryota; Metazoa; Cnidaria; Anthozoa; Scleractinia; Pocilloporidae. The record is from RNAcentral.